RNAcentral lists this ribosomal RNA (474 nucleotides) under uncultured bacterium. RNAcentral's name for it is "partial 16S ribosomal RNA". It matches the Rfam family "Bacterial small subunit ribosomal RNA", at positions 33 to 541 of the family's 1533-position model. The record is from RNAcentral.
AGCGAACGCUGGCGGCAGGCCUAACACAUGCAAGUCGAACGAACCUUUCGGGGUUAGUGGCGGACGGGUGAGUAACACGUGGGAACGUGCCUUUAGGUUCGGAAUAACUCAGGGAAACUUGUGCUAAUACCGAAUGUGCCCUUCGGGGGAAAGAUUAAUCGCCUUUAGAGCGGCCCGCGUCUGAUUAGCUAGUUGGUUGAGGUAAUGGCUCACCAAGGCGACGAUCAGUAGCUGGUCUGAGAGGAUGAUCAGCCACAUUGGGACUGAGACACGGCCCAAAGUGGAGCGGGAGGAAGGAGGGGGGAGGGAUGAGCAGGGGGAGAAAGAGUGACGCAGCCAUGGGGCGUGAAUGAUGAAGGUCGUAUGUAUGAAACAUUCUUUCGGCGGGAAGGAUGAGGACGGUACAGGGAGAAGAAGCCCCGGCUAACGACGGGAAAGCAGCGGGGUUAAGAGACCGAAGAGGAGAGUGUAAGC